GUGACCCCAGGUCAGGCGGGGACACCC
RNAcentral lists this ribosomal RNA (27 nucleotides) under Gagea pauciflora. RNAcentral's name for it is "partial 26S ribosomal RNA". Lineage: Eukaryota; Viridiplantae; Streptophyta; Magnoliopsida; Liliales; Liliaceae. The record is from RNAcentral. RNAcentral also lists the same sequence under 1 other name.